This 699-nucleotide ribosomal RNA is filed under the name uncultured bacterium. RNAcentral describes it as "bacterial SSU rRNA". It matches the Rfam family "Bacterial small subunit ribosomal RNA", at positions 1 to 742 of the family's 1533-position model. The record is from RNAcentral.
AGGAGUUUGAUCCUGGCUCAGAACGAACGCUGGCGGCAGGCCUAACACAUGCAAGUCGAAGGAGAAGCCAUCUUCGGAUGGUGGAAACUGGCGCACGGGUGAGUAACGCGUGGGUAUCUACCUUGGGGUGGGGAAUAACCGCUGGAAACGGCGGCUAAUACCGCAUACGCCUUUAGAGGGAAAGCUCCGGCGCCCUAAGAGGAGCCCGCGUUGGAUUAGCUUGUUGGUGGGGUAAUGGCCUACCAAGGCUACGAUCUAUAGCUGGUCUGAGAGGAUGAUCAGCCACACUGGGACUGAGAUACGGCCCAGACUCCUACGGGAGGCAGCAGUGGGGAAUAUUGGACAAUGGGCGCAAGCCUGAUCCAGCCAUGCCGCGUGAGUGAAGAAGGCCUUAGGGUUGUAAAGCUCUUUCACCUGCGAAGAUGAUGACGGUAGCAGGAGAAGAAGCCCCGGCUAACUCCGUGCCAGCAGCCGCGGUAAUACGGAGGGGGCUAGCGUUGUUCGGAUUUACUGGGCGUAAAGGGCGCGUAGGCGGUAUGCCAUGUCAGGGGUGAAAGGCCUGGGCUCAACCCAGGAACUGCCUUUGAAACUGGCAAACUAGAGUCCGAUAGAGGAUGGCGGAAUUCCCAGUGUAGAGGUGAAAUUCGUAGAUAUUGGGAAGAACACCAGUGGCGAAGGCGGCCAUCUGGAUCGGCACUG